UACGUAGGUGGCAAGCGUUGUCCGGAUUUAUUGGGCGUAAAGAGCGUGUAGGCGGCUAGAUAGGUCCGUUGUGAAAACUCGAGGCUUAACCUCGAGAUGUCAUCGGAAACCAUCUGGCUAGAGUCCGGAAGAGGAGAGUGGAAUUCCUGGUGUAGCGGUGAAAUGCGCAGAUAUCAGGAAGAACACCAAUGGCGAAAGCAGCUCUCUGGGACGGUACUGACGCUGAGACGCGAAAGCGUGGGGAGCGAACAGG
Molecule: ribosomal RNA, 253 nt
Filed under: uncultured bacterium
Lineage: Bacteria
Description: partial 16S ribosomal RNA
Rfam family: Bacterial small subunit ribosomal RNA
Source: RNAcentral